RNAcentral lists this unclassified non-coding RNA (241 nucleotides) under uncultured fungus. RNAcentral's name for it is "partial contains 5.8S ribosomal RNA, internal transcribed spacer 2, and large subunit ribosomal RNA". The stretch from base 1 to 52 matches the Rfam family "5.8S ribosomal RNA", at positions 103 to 154 of the family's 154-position model. The record is from RNAcentral. Lineage: Eukaryota; Fungi.
AACGCACAUUGCGCCCCUUGGUAUUCCGAGGGGCAUGCCUGUUCGAGCGUCAUUAUAACCACUCAAGCCUCGGCUUGGUCUUGGGGUUCGCGGUCUCGCGGCCCUUAAAAUCAGUGGCGGUGCCGUCUGGCUCUAAGCGUAGUAAUUCUUCUCGCUUUGGAGACCCGGGUGCGUGCUUGCCAGCAACCCCCAAUUUUUUCAGGUUGACCUCGGAUCAGGUAGGGAUACCCGCUGAACUUAA